Molecule: transfer RNA, 66 nt
Filed under: Anguloclavus sp. 1 MNHN IM 2013-19732
Lineage: Eukaryota; Metazoa; Mollusca; Gastropoda; Neogastropoda; Drilliidae
Also listed under: 1 other name
Description: tRNA-Ala
Source: RNAcentral
GACUCGAUACUUUAAUAUAAAAGACCUGACUUGCACUUAGAAAAUAAGUUUACAAACUUUCGGGCC